UGGGGAAUAUUGCGCAAUGGGGGAAACCCUGACGCAGCGACGCCGCGUGAGUGAUGAAGGCUUUCGGGUCGUAAAGCUCUGUCAGAUGGGAAGAAUAAGAGCAGGGAAAACAUCUCUGUUCGAUGACUGUACCAUCAGAGGAAGCACCGGCUAACUCCGUGCCAGCAGCCGCGGUAAUACGGAGGGUGCAAGCGUUGUUCGGAAUUACUGGGCGUAAAGCGCAUGUAGGCGGGUAUGUAGGUCAGAUGUGAAAGCCCUUGGCUCAACUAAGGAAGUGCAUCUGAAACCAUAUAUCUUGAGUACGUCAGAGGAGAGUGGAAUUCCCAGUGUAGAGGUGAAAUUCAUAGAUAUUGGGAAGAACACCAGUGGCGAAGGCGGCUCUCUGGGACGAUACUGACGCUGAGACGCGAAAGCGUGGGGAGCAAACAGG
RNAcentral lists this ribosomal RNA (430 nucleotides) under uncultured bacterium. RNAcentral describes it as "bacterial SSU rRNA". It matches the Rfam family "Bacterial small subunit ribosomal RNA", at positions 355 to 776 of the family's 1533-position model. The record is from RNAcentral.